Molecule: transfer RNA, 83 nt
Filed under: Gemmatimonadaceae bacterium
Lineage: Bacteria; Pseudomonadati; Gemmatimonadota; Gemmatimonadia; Gemmatimonadales; Gemmatimonadaceae
Also listed under: 2 other names
Description: tRNA-Ser
Rfam family: tRNA
About the family: Transfer RNA (tRNA) molecules are approximately 80 nucleotides in length. Their secondary structure includes four short double-helical elements and three loops (D, anti-codon, and T loops). Further hydrogen bonds mediate the characteristic L-shaped molecular structure. tRNAs have two regions of fundamental functional importance: the anti-codon, which is responsible for specific mRNA codon recognition, and the 3' end, to which the tRNAs corresponding amino acid is attached (by aminoacyl-tRNA synthetases). tRNAs cope with the degeneracy of the genetic code in two manners: having more than one tRNA (with a specific anti-codon) for a particular amino acid; and 'wobble' base-pairing, i.e. permitting non-standard base-pairing at the 3rd anti-codon position.
Source: RNAcentral
GGAGGGCUGGCAGAAUGGCUAAUGCAGCGGUCUUGAAAACCGCCGUCCGCAAGGACUUACAGGUUCGAAUCCUGUGCCCUCCG